AUUUCAACAAUGAAGCGAGUGGCGAACUGGUGAGUAACACGUGGGAAAUCUGCCCAGAAGCAGGGGAUAACACUUGGAAACAGGUGCUAAUACCGUAUAACAACAAAAUCCGCAUGGAUUUUGUUUGAAAGGUGGCUUCGGCUAUCACUUCUGGAUGAUCCCGCGGCGUAUUAGUUAGUUGGUGAGGUAAAGGCCCACCAAGACGAUGAUACGUAGCCGACCUGAGAGGGUAAUCGGCCACAUUGGGACUGAGACACGGCCCAAACUCCUACGGGAGGCAGCAGUAGGGAAUCUUCUCACAAUGGACGAAAGUCUGAUGGAGCAAUGACGCGUGACUGAAGAAGGGAUUCGACUCGUAAAACCUCUGUUGUUAAAGAAGAACACCUUUGAGAGUAACUGUUCAACGGUUGACGGUAUUUAACCAGAAAGCCACGGCUAACUACGUGCCAGCAGCCGCGGUAAUACGUAGGUGGCAAGCGUUGUCCGGAUUUAUUGGGCGUAAAGCGAGCGCAGGCGGUUUUUUAAGUCUGAUGUGAAAGCAUUCGGCUUAACCGGAGAAGUGCAUCGGAAACUGGGAGACUUGAGUGCAGAAGAGGACAGUGGAACUCCAUGUGUAGCGGUGGAAUGCGUAGAUAUAUGGAAGAACACCAGUGGCGAAGGCGGCUGUGUAGUCUGUAACUGACGCUCAGGCUCGAAAGCAUGGGUAGCGAACAGGAUUAGAUACCCUGGUAGUCCAUGCCGUAAACGAUGAGUGCUAAGUGUUGGAGGGUUUCCGCCCUUCCAGUGCUGCAGCUAACGCAUUAAAGCACUCCGCCUGGGGGAGGUACGACCGCAAGGUUGAAACUCAAAGGAAUUGACGGGGGCCCGCACAAGCGGUGGAGCAUGUGGUUUAAUUCGAAGCUACGCGAAGAACCUUACCAGGUCUUGACAUCUUCUGCCAAUCUUAGAGAUAAGACGUUCCCUUCGGGGACAGAAUGA
Molecule: ribosomal RNA, 978 nt
Filed under: Levilactobacillus brevis
Lineage: Bacteria; Bacillati; Bacillota; Bacilli; Lactobacillales; Lactobacillaceae
Description: bacterial SSU rRNA
Rfam family: Bacterial small subunit ribosomal RNA
Source: RNAcentral